This 585-nucleotide ribosomal RNA is filed under the name uncultured bacterium. RNAcentral's name for it is "bacterial SSU rRNA". It matches the Rfam family "Bacterial small subunit ribosomal RNA", at positions 338 to 916 of the family's 1533-position model. The record is from RNAcentral.
CCUACGGGAGGCAGCAGUGGGGAAUAUUGGACAAUGGGCGCAAGCCUGAUCCAGCAAUGCCGCGUGAGUGAAGAAGGCCUUCGGGUUGUAAAGCUCUUUUGUCGGGGAAGAAACGGUGGGGGCUAAUAUCUCCUACUAAUGACGGUACCUGAAGAAUAAGCACCGGCUAACUACGUGCCAGCAGCCGCGGUAAUACGUAGGGUGCAAGCGUUAAUCGGAAUUACUGGGCGUAAAGCGUGCGCAGGCGGUUUUGUAAGUCUGUCGUGAAAGCCCCGGGCUCAACCUGGGAAUUGCGAUGGAGACUGCAAGGCUUGAAUCUGGCAGAGGGGGGUAGAAUUCCACGUGUAGCAGUGAAAUGCGUAGAGAUGUGGAGGAACACCGAUGGCGAAGGCAGCCCCCUGGGUCAAGAUUGACGCUCAUGCACGAAAGCGUGGGGAGCAAACAGGAUUAGAUACCCUGGUAGUCCACGCCCUAAACGAUGUCUACUAGUUGUCGGGUUUUAAUUAACUUGGUAACGCAGCUAACGCGUGAAGUAGACCGCCUGGGGAGUACGGUCGCAAGAUUAAAACUCAAAGGAAUUGACGG